UCUGUAUUUCAUAUACAAGAUGGCUUUGGUUUUAUUUUAGGAAAAAUCUGAAGGGAAGGUAUUUGUAGUGGAAGGAACAGAACAACAGAAUGAGGAGAAUGUUAAUGAAACAGUAGCACAGUCCCCGGAGACCAAAGUGCCAGUGGCUUUUGUUUAAGCAAGCAUGAUUCAGAUCUAAGCACUACUAAUGGGGACUAUGGAUGUCCAAGAGCACUGCUUUGAAAUAGAGAAUGCAGCAGUCUAAAUGGCUAAAUUCCUACAUUCAUCUGCUCAUCUUCAUUGUUUAAACCUCAACUAUCUUGGAGCCAGGAAUGGAUAUCACUCCAGAAGUAGGGAUGACUCCCAACCUUAGUAUCCAAAGAAUGAAGGUUUGAAGAUGUGGCAAGGGUCACCAUCAAGGAGGAAUACAAAUCUACACAUGGCAAGUUCAACCGCACAGUCAAGGCUGACAACAAGAAACUGUUAUCAAUGAGAGAGCCAUCACCAUCUUUCAGGAGCAAGACCCUGCCCAUAUCAAAGGGGUAAUGCUGGUGCAGAAUAUAUUCUUGGAAUUUACUGAUGUCUCACCCAACAGAGAGAAGUCUGGGGCUCAACUUAAGGGUGAUACUGAAUGGGUCAUCAUCUCUGCCCCUUCUGAUGAUUCACCCAUGUUUCUGAUGGGUGUGAACCACAAGAAGUAUGGCAACUCAUUUAAGAUUAUUGACAAUGCUUUCUAUAUCGCCAACUUCAGAGGCCCUUGGUAAAGGUCAUCCGUGACAACUCUAGUAUUAUGAAAGAACUCCUGACCACACUCUGUGAGAUUACUGCCACGUUGAAUACUGGGAAUGUUUCCUUUGAGAAGCUGUUUCUUGAUCACCAUGGGGCUACCCAGAAUAUCUUCUCUGCAUGGUGCUACCAAGUCUGUAGGCAAGGUCAUUCUAGAACUGAACAGGAAUCUCACUGCUAUAACCUUUUGCAUUUCUACCUCCAAUGUAUUCAUCAUUGAUCUAACAUAGCACCUAGAGAAAGCUGCCAAUAUAAUGACAUGAAGAAGUUGGUGAAGCAGCUAUUGAGGGACAACUAAAGGGCAACCUGGGCUGUACUGUGUGCCAAACUAUCUCCUCCAAUUUUAAGAAUGAUGUCCCUUCUUCCAUCUUUUAUGCUGGGGCUAGCAUUGGUCUUAGUGACAAUUUUGUAAAGAGUAUUUCCUAGUAUGACAAUGAAUUUGGCCACAGCAAAGCAGGGGUGGGAAUGAACCUCAUAGACUUCAUGGCCUCUAAGAUUUAAGAAGUCCUUGACCAUCCACCCCAUCAAGAAUAUGAGACCAAGAAAGACAGUGUUACUCAGCUGCUGUGGUGUCCCUGUCCCAACUGAAACCACAAUCUCUCCUCAUAGUUUCAAACCAGAUGCCCAGAAGAAGAGGAAGGGCUUAGGGUGUCCCACUCUCUUGUACAUCAAUAAAAUUCACUGCACUCAUACAAAGAACUGUUACAAAUGUCUAAAUUGGUUCUGUCCCAGAGAAAUAUAAAGGAACUACAUGUAUUGCUGUAAUUUUUCUUAUGACAAAAAGUAUAUUGCCUAAGGAUAUCCACAGAUGACUUCAUUAUAUAAAAGUGCUUUUCAUUUGAGAACUUGAAAUCAAUACCAGAACCCAA
RNAcentral lists this small RNA (1634 nucleotides) under Rattus norvegicus (Norway rat). RNAcentral describes it as "uncharacterized LOC102556035". The record is from RNAcentral. Lineage: Eukaryota; Metazoa; Chordata; Mammalia; Rodentia; Muridae.